Molecule: long non-coding RNA, 2222 nt
Filed under: Mastacembelus armatus (zig-zag eel)
Lineage: Eukaryota; Metazoa; Chordata; Actinopteri; Synbranchiformes; Mastacembelidae
Description: lncRNA (ENSMAMG00000025381.1)
Source: RNAcentral
GGAUUGUGGUAGAUCCUACCAGUUCUCGACGGGGGGCUGGGUGAAGUGGGUUGAGAGGCACGGGGGAGCUGGGGAGCCCCCCGAAAAAGAAAUUAAUAAAAAGACCUGAGCCUUGUACGAUCGGCAGGCCACAGUUGAAUAAUACCUCAGCCGUGUACGAUCGGGAAGGAAACUGUGAGUGUAUAUCUCAGCCGUGUACGAUCGGGAGAUAUUCGUAUGAAUGUGAGAUUGUGUGACUGGCAAGUAAUAUUGCAUUAUUCGAUGUAGUUAUUGUUAUUAGACAAAGGGUCUAAAGUGUGUCGAACGGUAUGAAUAUUAUGUGACUUGUGGGGGCAUAAGAUGUAUACAUUGUUAUAAGGUGUAUAAGUAUAAUAUCUGUUAUAACAUAGGAAUAUGGACGUAUGUAUGGUAUUAAAUAUCAACUGAGUGAAGAGGUCAGUAUGAACAGGAAGUGUCUCUGAGGGGACCUUGAUUCAGACUGAGCAGAGAAGGAGGAAGUAGAGGUGAAGUGAUUCAGAGGUUGCUCCUCCCACUAUUUGGCUCCCUCUAGUGGCGCUGAGCAGAAUUACAGGAGAAGCUGCUGACACCCGCAGGAGCUGGGAGGUACUGCAUCAGGACAUUGGAAAAUUGCUUCAUCUGGUGGAGGAACCAUCGAACUACAAUUGAAUGCAAACAAAUAGAAAGAUGAACGAUGACAGAUGGGGCCCACCAGAAAAAUGGGUCAAUCUGGGGAUUCAAGUUGAAUCUAUCUUAAAGGCAGGAAGAAUGACAUGUAGGGAAAAGGAUGCCCAGGCAGAGAUGGACGAGUAUAAGGAGAUGCUGAUGCAGCUUAUAAAGGAUAAAGGUAAGACUCUAAAGGAUCACACUGCCCUCAUCCCAUGGCUAUGGGCGAAGUCAGUACAGCACAGGCGUUGUGCCGAGGAGGCUAAGAAGGAUCGGGACAAGGCCUCCCCUUUCUACUGGAGCAAACUGAGACAGAGAGCAAACGAAGAGGAAACUGAAGCACACCGAUGGACCAAUCUAGCCCUCUGGUGGCAGGGGACUCAGCACAUGCACAAGAACAAAGAAUGGAAGAAAACAGUGGAAACAGAAGUGAAGCAGUCACCACCGCCUUAUUCUGCGAGUAGGCCGACUGCACCCCCUCCAGCAGGACUAUAUCCGGUGAUGGACAUCUCCAAGGGAGAAUUACAGGUGUCGGAUAUGCCUCCUGUGCUCAGAACCUCCUCCCCGGAUCACCGGGAUGGGGACUGCAGAGGAGGGGAACAGCCCCCUCGUGACAAGAAGCCUGCCUAUGACAGCGGAGAGGACAGUCACCCAUUCCAGGAUCGGGCCAGACGUGAACAGCCCUCCAGACAACCUAUACCGCAGCUACAGGUAGAGAAGCCUGCACGAAGAGAGAGAGACAGAGGCGAGCGAGAAGUGCUGUUACGGUUCACACCACAGGAGGGUUCUCGAACCCCUGGGUCCAUACUAUUAUGGGCGGAAGGAAAAUGGAGACCUGAGGAGGAACCUCUGGACACAGAUGAACACGAUACGCUGUCUUGGUCUCCAUACAGGGAGUGUGAGUCUCCAGGACAAGAGAACAGGAAGAAACCGGUAAGGACAGGCAAGGAAUGGAGACUACAGCGCUCACCUCUGCCGAGCCACACACUAACAGUAAGAUCUGAGGAGGAGGAAGACUGGGAUGUGGAGAAUGGAGGACCGAGCUGUGCGGGACCGAGGUCCCAGAAUGAUGUGUUGAUGUUCCCCUUGAUGGCCACCGGAGGUGGGUUUAAAUACCGGCCCUACAGGUUGGGGGAUGUGCAGGCUUUGGUGGACCAACUUUCCCCAGUGGCAGAGGGGGGAGGCCUGUGGCUUGGAAAAUUGGACGCAGGACAGAGACUAGCUAUUGGGGAUUUUAGAGCCGUGAUUCAGAGAUGCCUGACCAGCAUGGAUGCAAGAGAUAUAGAGAAGGCUGCGGGCACCCUCCGCAGACCAGAUGAGGAGCCAUUCGCCCGGUGGGCUGGUGACCUGAGCAAGGCAAUCCGCGAGAAAUAUCCGCUGCCAAAUUCAGCAGCGGUCCCAAAGGUCACUUGGAACGUUAAAGACAACCCCAGAGUCUUCUUAGACCAGAGUAAAGAGUUGUGGAUCCGACAGACAGGGUGUCACCCAGGUAAAUCGGGUCCCCAAAGGGAGUGGUACCGACAGGCGGUAUUGGAGGGGGUCCCAGAAAAGGUCAAAAC